RNAcentral lists this ribosomal RNA (497 nucleotides) under uncultured bacterium. RNAcentral describes it as "partial 16S ribosomal RNA". It matches the Rfam family "Bacterial small subunit ribosomal RNA", at positions 28 to 507 of the family's 1533-position model. The record is from RNAcentral.
GAUGAACGCUGGCGGCGUGCCUAAUACAUGCAAGUCGAGCGAACAGACGAGGAGCUUGCUCCUUUGACGUUAGCGGCGGACGGGUGAGUAGCACGUGGGUAACCUACCUAUAAGACUGGGAUAACUUCGGGAAACCGGAGCUAAUACCGGAUAAUAUUUCGAACCGCAUGGUUCGAUAGUGAAAGAUGGCUUUGCUAUCACUUAUAGAUGGACCUGCGCCGUAUUAGCUAGUUGGUAAGGUAACGGCUUACCAAGGCAACGAUACGUAGCCGACCUGAGAGGGUGAUCGGCCACACUGGAACUGAGACACGGUCCAGACUCCUACGGGAGGCAGCAGUAGGGAAUCUUCCGCAAUGGGCGAAAGCCUGACGGAGCUACGCCGCGUGAGUGAUGAAGGUCUUCGGAUCGUAAAACUCUGUUAUUAGGGAAGAACAAACGUGUAAGUAACUGUGCACGUCUUGACGGUACCUAAUCAGAAAGCCACGGCUAACUACGUG